AAUCGUCCUUUGUCGAAGCCCAGGGAUCCACCUUUUGCCAUAACAAAAGGACGUUGGCAUCCAAUCGGGAUUGAGGCUGAUGUGGGCGGGUCCAGGAAAAGCAACAGCCAAUGGCAGUACAGGGGCGAAGUUAGGCGUGAGAAAGCCAGUCCCAGGAAAGCAGCCCUUCAGUCUCAGCAGGAGCCUGAAAAUUGGGGUCAGAAAUCCAGUGUGGAAAAUUCUGACAGCUGUCAGGAAGGAGGUUAUUGAAUUCAUUGGAGAAUGAGUGAUGUCCUAAAUUUGGGAAUAAAUGUAGGCCGGGACUUGUUUGAAAGUGAAAGCUAAAACAGGGAAAGAAAGUAAGAAAAGACAAGACCCGUCAGAUCCAGCUUGGAACGUUUCCAAGGGAUAUGUCCAGAUGGGGUCUGCUCCAGCUCCUCGAGGCCCAUUCUGUGGCUGCGGAGGUGACCCAAGCGUGCUGAGUCCAUGCCACUCCACAGCCUUCUCCUGCAAACCUUUCCCCACCUUUCUGCCAGAUCACAG
Molecule: long non-coding RNA, 522 nt
Organism: Leopardus geoffroyi (Geoffroy's cat)
Lineage: Eukaryota; Metazoa; Chordata; Mammalia; Carnivora; Felidae
Exons: 4
Source: RefSeq, a predicted model, not a curated record